GCAACAUCUGCAUUGCUAUUGUGUAACAUGGUUUUUACAAUUACGACAGAGAACUUAUGAAUUUCGUUUCUGCAAAAUUGAAGGGUUUUUCUUUUUCAUUUUGUCAUUGGACGUUUUACGUUACCUUCACUGCCGUUUCAAGAUCAAUUCUGUGCUACACUCGCUUAGUUCUUGUUUUAAUGCCUGUAGUAUGGAUCUAAACUUGUUAAGUGGUUUUGUGAUUGAAUUCUACAUGUGGAGCGCAGAUCCUAGUAUUAUAACUAAUUAAUUGCACUCUUUGAAUCUUGAGAUUAUUUCUAUGAUCUAAAAUAUUGGAUUUAAUUGGUAUUUUAUUAGGAAUAAUAGCCUUUGGUUUUACUUAAAAUUUUCCUAAGUGACAGAUCAUUGAUGCAUGUGAUGGGCCACCUAAG
This 410-nucleotide unclassified non-coding RNA is filed under the name Hevea brasiliensis (rubber tree). The record is from RNAcentral. Lineage: Eukaryota; Viridiplantae; Streptophyta; Magnoliopsida; Malpighiales; Euphorbiaceae.